Molecule: unclassified non-coding RNA, 1589 nt
Filed under: Hevea brasiliensis (rubber tree)
Lineage: Eukaryota; Viridiplantae; Streptophyta; Magnoliopsida; Malpighiales; Euphorbiaceae
Source: RNAcentral
AGAUGUUCAUUCGAGGAAUGUUGUUUCUCUAGUUAAUUGCUGUUAAUGUUAAUGCUAAUGCUAGAUCUUUCUUCCUUACUACGUUCUUCAAAUUGAACAAGAUAUUUAUAAGCAGCACAGAGAAGUAGCUUAACUAAAAAAAAAUUAAUGAAUGAAAAAAUAUCAAGUGUGCGCUAAACAGCUGCAGAGGUCUCAUCAUCUGCUCCUGUUGGUGAACCAGGUACAAAUGGUACAAAUCCUCGCCCACCAAACACUGGCCUCAUGAAUUUGUCGUCGAAUUUUCUCCACAAGUAGUGAACAGUUAUUGUGGGGUGAGCUAUUAGCAACCUUAGGCUACUUGCCCUUGGGGCUAUUUGAUUGUUGCCUUGCCCGCUUGAGUCACCAUUUUCAAAGAAAAGUUGCCUUAGGUCUUCUUCCAGACUUGGAAUAUCAGUUGCAUCUGAAACAUUUGUUUUUCUAUUUCUUAACAACACUGCUUCAAUUAGAGGUUUUGUCACAGAGCCACAGACCUGUUCCGAAAACAGAAAUGUCAUAUGCAUGUGCUAGUAUAAUGUUGUGCUAAUAACCAAGAUGGAUGCAAUUCAAAUAGAAUUCUUAGAGAUUAUGAUUCAAUGAAGACUUUAUUAAAAUAUUGGUCUUUGACUAAAACUAGACUUGUUAAAUUGGUCAUAUGUGCCACUGUUGAAGUGUUGAGCUCCUAAAAACUACUACUUAGUGUAGAACAAAGACAAGGAUUUAAAGAUAGAAUAAUCUAAGGGAUUUCAGAUAAACAAAACUUACAAUUGUACUGAAGAGAACAACGAUAAUGGUACAGGUGAUCAUUAGUGCAGAAUCUGAAGAACUGAUUUUCUUGGUGUUUGAAAACUGGUUAUAAGACAGAGCAAUAGUAACUGCACCUCUCAUUAGUCCUGCCCACCACAUAAUAAACUAUUGAUUUUGAAGAGUUAGCAACCUUUCUUUUUAGAACCACAAGACAAUAGCUAUUUUUUGGAUGCAUGUAAUCAUUACCUGUUGUUUAAAUUCAAUUUUGUUACUGUCUCUCUUUUGAAUACAAUUUAUAAAAUUUGCUAAAGGGAACACAAAUGCUGCCCUUCCAAUCAACACUAAUGCGAAGAAUGUUGCACUGAUGGUAACUGAAGUUGCUGCACUGAAUUUUGAAUGUGGAACAAAUUAGAUAUAACAUGUUCUAAUGUAAAAACUCUAGAGAAAUAAAUUAUAAUGGGUUAUGAACUAAUUUCCUGUAUGUAUACAUAGCAACACGCAUCACACUUCAGUUAAAUAUCAUGGCCAUUACUGAGGUUUAGUUAACCAUGCUGUGAAUCACUUAGCUUAUUGGAAAUAAGAACAGGUGCCAGAAAACAUCCAAGCCAGAAAUGUAUAAUUAACAGGUAGAAGAUUACCUUGCAUUGCUCCCUUUCCAUUUCUCAAUGUCGAAGGCAUCCAUACCAACAUACACAAAAAUAAAAGUUUCUGCAAUAAACGACAUUGUUGCAAAUGCAUGCUUGGUUGUUAUCCGAGAGCUUUCAGUAACAUUGUGCCAUGUGUAGUGUGACAUUACAAUGCCACAGAAGAAAACUGUCAAAAUCCCA